This 446-nucleotide ribosomal RNA is filed under the name Kodamaea ohmeri. Its description in RNAcentral is "eukaryotic LSU rRNA". The stretch from base 133 to 284 matches the Rfam family "5.8S ribosomal RNA". Lineage: Eukaryota; Fungi; Ascomycota; Pichiomycetes; Serinales; Debaryomycetaceae. The record is from RNAcentral.
GAGGAAGUAAAAGUCGUAACAAGCUUCGUUCGUAGUGACCUGCGGAGGAUCAUUAACAUAAUAUUCUUACACACUGUUUUUUUACAACAAAACAAAUCUAUCUAAAAACAAUUCUUUACAAGAAAUUCUUAAAACUUUCAACAACGGAUCUCUUGGUUCUCGCAUCGAUGAAGAACGCAGCGAAAUGCGAUACGUAAUACGAAUCGCAGCUCUCGGAAUCAUCGAAUCUUUGAACGCACAUUGCACCAUUGGGUAUUCCCAAUGGUAUGCUUGUUUGAGCGAAUACUUCCCUAAUCCUCACGGAUUGUAUUGUGUUUGCACGAAAAUAAUGACGACAGUACUCUACAAAACGGUACCGUCAGUACACUCAUUUUUUUUCCUCAAAUCAAGUAGGACUACCCGCUGAACUUAAGCAUAUCUAAAGUGGGGGAAGAGAAAAUUUCGAU